Molecule: ribosomal RNA, 505 nt
Filed under: uncultured bacterium
Lineage: Bacteria
Description: partial 16S ribosomal RNA
Rfam family: Bacterial small subunit ribosomal RNA
Source: RNAcentral
GACGAACGCUGGCGGCGUGCCUAAUACAUGCAAGUAGAACGCACAGUUUAUACCGUAGCUUGCUACACCAUAGACUGUGAGUUGCGAACGGGUGAGUAACGCGUAGGUAACCUGCCUGGUAGCGGGGGAUAACUAUUGGAAACGAUAGCUAAUACCGCAUAAUAUUAAUUAUUGCAUGAUAAUUAAUUGAAAGGUGCAAUUGCACCACUACCAGAUGGACCUGCGUUGUAUUAGCUAGUAGGUGAGGUAACGGCUCACCUAGGCGACGAUACAUAGCCGACCUGAGAGGGUGAUCGGCCACACUGGGACUGAGACACGGCCCAGACUCCUACGGGAGGCAGCAGUAGGGAAUCUUCGGCAAGGGACGAAAGUCUGACCGAGCAACGCCGCGUGAGUGAAGAAGGUUUUCGGAUCGUAAAGCUCUGUUGUAAGAGAAGAACGGGUGUGAGAGUGGAAAGUUCACACUGUGACGGUAUCUUACCAGAAAGGGACGGCUAACUACGUG